Molecule: long non-coding RNA, 1281 nt
Organism: Neopelma chrysocephalum (saffron-crested tyrant-manakin)
Lineage: Eukaryota; Metazoa; Chordata; Aves; Passeriformes; Pipridae
Exons: 3
Source: RefSeq, a predicted model, not a curated record
AUGCACUUCGACCGCCUGGUGCGCCGCCACCACCUGCCCCGCGUCCUGCGCCGCGCCAAGGCCCUCUUCGCCGGCUACCUCGAGGGCUGGGGGGGAGCCCCCGCCGCCGGACCCCCGUAGGAGACGCGGCGGGGACGGCGCCGGGAGCUCGGGGUCGCCGCGAGGAGCUCAAGGUCACCAUGAGGAACUCAAGGUCUUCUUUGGGGACGCCUUGGUCACUGGGGGGACUUGUAGGACAAUGUGGAGACCCCAUAAAACAUCUCCGGGAGACCCUGAGGACAUCAUGAGGAACUCAAGGGCACCAUGAGGAACUCAAGGUCACCAUGAGGAGCUCAAGGUCACUCUGAGGAGCUCAAGGUCACCAUGAGGAGCUCAAGGACACCAUGAGGAACUCAAGGCCACCAUGAGGAGCUCAGGGUCACCAUGAGGAGCUCAAGGUCCUUGGGGAUCCCUUGGUCACUGUGGGACUUGUAGGACAAUGUGGACACCCCAUAAAACAUCUCCAGGGAACCCCAAGGACACCACCAGGAGCCCAAGGCCACCAUGAGGAGCUCAAGAUCUUCUUUAGAGACCCCUCAGUCACCAGGGGGACUCGUAGGACAAUGUGGGGACCCCAUAAAAUGUCUCCAGGGGACCCCAGAGGUAUCAUAUGGGGACUUGUAGGGCUUCUUUGGGGACCCCAAGGCCACCACAAGGAAAUCAAGGUCACCACAAGGCGCUCGCACCACGGGGACCUCCAGGUCUUCUUUGGAGACCCCUUAGGUGUGUAGGACAAUGGGACUCGUAGGACAAUGUGGAGACCCCAUAAAACGUCUCCGGGGCAUCCCAAGGGCUUCUUUGGGGACCCCGAGGCCACCACGAGAACUUCUGGGUCGUCUUUAGCAGGACAAUGUGAGGACCCCCUAAAACAUCUCCAGGGGACCCCAAGGACAUUGUGGGGACCCCGAGGUCACUGUGGGGUCUGUAGGACAAUGUGGAGACCCCCUAAAACAUCUCCAGGGGACCCCAAGGGCACUGUGGGGUCUGUAGGACAAGGGGAGACCCCUAAAACAUCUCCAGGGGACCCCGAGGUCACUGUGGGGUCUGUAGGACAAGGGGAGACCCCUAAAACAUCUCCAGGGGACCCCAAGGUUGCUGUGGGGUCUGUAGGACAAGGGGAGACCCCAAAACAUCUCCAGGGGACCCCGAGGCCACCACAGGGACCCCAAAGACCCCCUAUGGGGACAUGGGGCUUCUCUUUGGGGACCCCAAGGCCACCCUGGAGACCCCUCGGAUCUUUGG